AAGUAUGAAGCAAAACUUUGCAGUUAGUUUCGACCUAACCCUUAGAUAUAAAUAUCCUUACUU
RNAcentral lists this transfer RNA (63 nucleotides) under Osmylus sp. 'Plethosmylus' HX-2020. Its description in RNAcentral is "tRNA-Arg". Lineage: Eukaryota; Metazoa; Arthropoda; Insecta; Neuroptera; Osmylidae. The record is from RNAcentral.